GUAGGGAGCAAGCGUUGUCCGGAUUUAUUGGGCGUAAAGAGCUCGUAGGCGGUUCCGUAAGUCAGGUGUGAAACCUCCAGGCUCAACCUGGAGACGCCACCUGAUACUGCGGUGACUGGAGUCCGGUAGGGGAGCGUGGAAUUCCUGGUGUAGCGGUGAAAUGCGCAGAUAUCAGGAGGAACACCAGCGGCGAAGGCGGCGCUCUGGGCCGGUACUGACGCUGAGGAGCGAAAGCGUGGGUAGCAAACAGGAUUAGAUACCCUGGUAGUCCACGCCGUAAACGUUGGGCACUAGGUGUGGGUCUCAACCAACGGGAUCUGUGCCGUAGCUAACGCAUUAAGUGCCCCGCCUGGGGAGUACGGCCGCAAGGCUA
This 373-nucleotide ribosomal RNA is filed under the name uncultured bacterium. RNAcentral's name for it is "bacterial SSU rRNA". It matches the Rfam family "Bacterial small subunit ribosomal RNA", at positions 527 to 896 of the family's 1533-position model. The record is from RNAcentral.